Molecule: non-coding RNA, 740 nt
Organism: Cricetulus griseus (Chinese hamster)
Lineage: Eukaryota; Metazoa; Chordata; Mammalia; Rodentia; Cricetidae
Source: RefSeq, a predicted model, not a curated record
CCAGAUGAUUCUUCCACUGUUUUCAGUCACACUAACAAGCCUCCACAAACAGUAACUUCUUUUCAUCUCCAGUCUCUCUGGCUUCUCUUUUCCCCUUUUCAGCAAUAGGCUGCCCACCGAGGGCUGAAGCAGUCCCUGACCAGGACCCUGAAUGGACAAUACCCCAGGGGCCUCCUUGCUGGCCACCCUUAAAGAGGCACUUGUCUCCAACGUUGGUGGCCCGAGUUCAAUCCAGAGGUCCCACAUGGUGGAAGGUGAGAACUGACUCCCCGUGUUUCCUGGACUCCACAAAGGAAAGAAGUGAGGAACAGAGGGAGAAGGAAAGAUUAUAGUUGAGAACAUUAAAAUAACUGCAGAAAAGGAGGCUGCAGGGUGCACACAUUGAAGAAGAGGCACAGUAGCAGAAUGAUUCCUGAGAAGGCCAGAGAAAAUGGGACCCAGACAUCUGGCACUACUAGUGUCAUCUAGGAAUUACUUUACUGUCACCAUCUGUCGAAAAUGAAAAUACUCAGAUGUCCCUCUAUCUACUGGAUCAAACUCUCCAUCUGAGGAAGAGUCUAGGUACAGUUGUUAAUCAAGCUCGGGAUGCUCUGAUGGAGAACUAAGCUCUGUUCCACUGGGAGAACAGGAGGGCCCAUGAUGGCUGAUUUACAUCUGAUGUCAGGAACUGGCAACAGAAGUCUAAAGUGCUGUUUAGACCGAUCUCAAGAGGGAAAAUAAAUGAAUCCCUACAAGUCCAA